AGCAAAGCGGCAAACAGAGAGGAAGCCGCAGGUUGCUGGCCAUGGUAGAAUCAGAGGGGAUAGGGGGAAGAGAAGCGGCUGCUUGGAGCUUAAUUUCCAGCUAGUUUUAAACCACAACACUUUGAAAGGUCAAAACAGAAGAUCAAUAUUACUACUAAGAAAACUCAGCUUCCUGGCAAAGUGAUGUAAAAGGGGUAAAGAACAAGUAGAAAUGCCCAUCUAGCUGCAUUAAAAUUCAGGAAAAUAAACACAUGAGUCCAGUCAGUGUGAUAUGUAGGCUGGAAAUUAAAACCUGC
Chiroxiphia lanceolata (lance-tailed manakin) is the source of this 296-nucleotide long non-coding RNA. RefSeq lists it as uncharacterized. The record is from RefSeq and is a predicted model, not a curated record. The transcript is spliced from 5 exons. NCBI's taxonomy places the organism in Eukaryota, Metazoa, Chordata, Aves, Passeriformes, Pipridae.